This 740-nucleotide long non-coding RNA is filed under the name Strigops habroptila (Kakapo). RNAcentral's name for it is "lncRNA (ENSSHBG00005002864.1)". The record is from RNAcentral. Lineage: Eukaryota; Metazoa; Chordata; Aves; Psittaciformes; Psittacidae.
CAGAGACUGGAAUGGAGAUGUGGAGCAGCGUGAUCCAGGGUCGGAGUUCGGCAGCCUCCCGUGUCCGCAACACUUCGUUUUCUGUCUGGCAUCAGCACUCUGCUCAACUGAGGGCAGGCCCCAAACUGAGAAAUAAGUGCUAUGAAACUUAAAGCAUGUUGGCAUAUUUUUACCUCACUGUUGUAUUCUGCGUGUUCUCCUUCCCCUUCACACAAAGCAAAAGAUGAUCUAUAACCAUUGCUGGGCACAUGCCGAGGAGAGAUGAUUUGUUAAUGAGUGUAUACACAAUCUUUUCCUAUCCAGUUUGUAAAUAGGAGUUCGGGUGCGCUUGAGGGGCUUCUUCACUGCUCCGGAAAGCUCCCAUUGGUUUGGAACAAACCUUUUAAAAAUUAUUUAUGCUGUCUUUUGAGGCAAUAAUACAAGAAUAUGACAAGUAAUGAAAAGAUUUUAGCAUCAGGAGAACAAAGGAAACCCCUGCAAGGCGCACGUUCUCACUAGACCAAGAGACCUGGAGAUUUUCUUUGGUUUUUUACACACGUGUAAAUAGACUGGAAUGUUUUUAAGAAUAUAAUGAAAUGUCAGAUUUAGCUUUUUUCCUUUUAUAUAUUAAAAUAUAUCUUUCCCUCUUUUUCUGCUUUUGAAAAAUGGAUAUUUUUGUAGAAAUCUAACGGUAAAGGACUCUUUAACUGUAUGUGAGGGACAAAGUGUACAACUAAAAUAAACCAAUCGAGGUCAACUAG